RNAcentral lists this ribosomal RNA (466 nucleotides) under uncultured bacterium. Its description in RNAcentral is "bacterial SSU rRNA". It matches the Rfam family "Bacterial small subunit ribosomal RNA", at positions 28 to 507 of the family's 1533-position model. RNAcentral also lists the same sequence under 1 other name. The record is from RNAcentral.
GACGAACGCUGGCGGCGCGCCUAACACAUGCAAGUCGAACGAGAGAUGAGGAGCUUGCUCUUCAAAUCGAGUGGCGAACGGGUGAGUAACGCGUGAGGAACCUGCCUCAAAGAGGGGGACAACAGUUGGAAACGACUGCUAAUACCGCAUAAGCCCACGGCUCGGCAUCGAGCAGAGGGAAAAGGAGCAAUCCGCUUUGAGAUGGCCUCGCGUCCGAUUAGCUAGUUGGUGAGGUAAUGGCCCACCAAGGCGACGAUCGGUAGCCGGACUGAGAGGUUGAACGGCCACAUUGGGACUGAGACACGGCCCAGACUCCUACGGGAGGCAGCAGUGGGGAAUAUUGCACAAUGGGGGAAACCCUGAUGCAGCGACGCCGCGUGGAGGAAGAAGGUCUUCGGAUUGUAAACUCCUGUUGUUGAGGAAGAUAAUGACGGUACUCAACAAGGAAGUGACGGCUAACUACGUG